UGUGUGUGUGUGUGUGUGUGUGUGCGCGCGCUCGCGCGCGCGCGCGCCCACACGCCCGCACA
Molecule: microRNA precursor, 62 nt
Filed under: Marmota monax (woodchuck)
Lineage: Eukaryota; Metazoa; Chordata; Mammalia; Rodentia; Sciuridae
Source: RNAcentral